GUGGGGAAUCUUGCGCAAUGGGCGAAAGCCUGACGCAGCCAUGCCGCGUGAAUGAUGAAGGUCUUAGGAUUGUAAAAUUCUUUCACCGGGGACGAUAAUGACGGUACCCGGAGAAGAAGCUCCGGCUAACUUCGUGCCAGCAGCCGCGGUAAUACGAAGGGGGCUAGCGUUGCGCGGAAUUACUGGGCGUAAAGGGCGCGUAGGCGGACAGCUUAGUCAGAGGUGAAAGCCCAGGGCUCAACCUUGGAAUUGCCUUUGAUACUGGCUGUCUUGAGUUUGGGAGAGGUGGGUGGAACUCCGAGUGUAGAGGUGAAAUUCGUAGAUAUUCGGAAGAACACCAGUGGCGAAGGCGACUCACUGGCCCAAUACUGACGCUGAGGCGCGAAAGCGUGGGGAGCAAACAGGAUUAGAUACCCCGGUAGUCC
Molecule: ribosomal RNA, 425 nt
Filed under: uncultured bacterium
Lineage: Bacteria
Description: partial 16S ribosomal RNA
Rfam family: Bacterial small subunit ribosomal RNA
Source: RNAcentral